AUUGAACGCUGGCGGCAUGCCUUACACAUGCAAGUCGAACGGUAACAGGUCUUCGGAUGCUGACGAGUGGCGAACGGGUGAGUAAUACAUCGGAACGUGCCUAGUAGUGGGGGAUAACUACUCGAAAGAGUGGCUAAUACCGCAUGAGAUCAACGGAUGAAAGCAGGGGAUCGCAAGACUUUGUGCUACUAGAGCGGCCGAUGGCAGAUUAGGUAGUUGGUGGGAUAAAAGCUUACCAAGCCGACGAUCUGUAGCUGGUCUGAGAGGACGAUCAGCCACACUGGGACUGAGACACGGCCCAGACUCCUACGGGAGGCAGCAGUGGGGAAUUUUGGACAAUGGGCGAAAGCCUGAUUCAGCAAUGCCGCGUGCAGGAUGAAGGCCUUCGGGUUGUAAACUGCUUUUGUACGGAACGAAAAGCCCCGGGUUAAUACCCUGGGGUCAUGACGGUACCGUAAGAAUAAGCACCGGCUAACUACGUGCCAGCCGCCGCCGUAA
RNAcentral lists this ribosomal RNA (498 nucleotides) under uncultured bacterium. Its description in RNAcentral is "partial 16S ribosomal RNA". It matches the Rfam family "Bacterial small subunit ribosomal RNA", at positions 30 to 523 of the family's 1533-position model. The record is from RNAcentral.